AGAUGUGAGGGCGAUGUGGCUGCAACAUCUGUCACCCCAUUGGUCGCCAGGGUUGAUUCCACUGAUCUGGCUGGCUCAGUGGAUUUCUCCUUUCUCCCUCAAUACUCCGUGUGUGUCCCCACUGAAGCUGCGCACUUGCUCGAAGAGGACAACCACACCAGAAUAGAGGAUGUCUGUUCCUCCGUCAAGGGUAUACGAGUAGCUGUGCUCCCCUGCUAGCACCUCCAAACAAGCUCUUGUGCUUCAUAUGUGAAAGAUUCAGGAUAAAUUAUUUCCUAAAGUGAUAGUGAUUCCAAAUAAUUUUUU
RNAcentral lists this small nuclear RNA (306 nucleotides) under Chinchilla lanigera (long-tailed chinchilla). RNAcentral describes it as "7SK RNA (ENSCLAG00000021541.1)". It matches the Rfam family "7SK RNA". From Rfam's summary of the family: 7SK was discovered as an abundant small nuclear RNA in the mid-70s but a possible function has only recently been suggested. Two independent studies have found that 7SK RNA binds the CDK9/cyclin T complex (known as elongation factor P-TEFb). The record is from Rfam by way of RNAcentral. Lineage: Eukaryota; Metazoa; Chordata; Mammalia; Rodentia; Chinchillidae.